This is a long non-coding RNA of Mauremys mutica (yellowpond turtle), 240 nucleotides long. RefSeq lists it as uncharacterized. The transcript has 4 exons. Lineage: Eukaryota; Metazoa; Chordata; Testudines; Geoemydidae. The record is from RefSeq and is a predicted model, not a curated record.
AGGGAGUCGUGAGUCCAGUUCGAGGAGCUGUUAAGACUGUCUUGGAUCUAGCUGGAAAUACUGUUGACCGUCUACUGGGGAAAUGAUCUGUGGACUAAGAAUUAUGAAUUAAUAACUCAAACACUGACGAAACCGGAUUGGCUGACUUCGAUGACGACACCUGCCAUUAUGCUUCCUGUGCUCCUGCUUCACAACUCUCUCACCAAUCAAAUGCUGACUGAAAAUCAUGAAUCAUACUGA